RNAcentral lists this long non-coding RNA (225 nucleotides) under Musa acuminata (dwarf banana). Its description in RNAcentral is "long non-coding RNA (MACU_LNC010340)". The record is from RNAcentral. Lineage: Eukaryota; Viridiplantae; Streptophyta; Magnoliopsida; Zingiberales; Musaceae.
GAUGGUGAAGGGGCUUAUGAUCGAAUCUAUUGUUGAGUUGCCGGUGAGUUUUAGACCACGAAGAACGACGACAUCUUGGUUCAUUAUGAACUAAAAGAAAAUUUUAAGAAUAUUGAUGAAAUAAUAUAACUUUCUUCUGUUGAUUAAAGAGGGUAACUGAGUCAGUGAACAUAUUCCAAAGAAUGAUCGGGUGGGUGGCAAGAAGAGGGAAUUGAAUAAGAGCAG